AGGACGAACGCUGGCGGCGUGCUUAACACAUGCAAGUCGAGCGGAAAGGCCCUUCGGGGUACUCGAGCGGCGAACGGGUGAGUAACACGUGAGCAACCUGCCCUUAGCUCCGGGAUAGCUCCGGGAAACCGGAAUUAAUACCGGAUAUCGACCUAGGCCGACAUCGGCUGUGGUGGAAAGUUUUUCGGCUGGGGAUGGACUCGCGGCCUAUCAGCUUGUUGGUGGGGUAAUGGCCUACCAAGGCGACGACGGGUAGCCGGCCUGAGAGGGCGACCGGCCACACUGGGACUGAGACACGGCCCAGACUCCUACGGGAGGCAGCAGUGGGGAAUCUUGCGCAAUGGGCGAAAGCCUGACGCAGCGACGCCGCGUGGGGGAUGAAGGCCUUCGGGUUGUAACCCCUUUCAGCAGGGACGAAGCGAAAGUGACGGUACCUGCAGAAGAAGCGCCGGCUAACUACGUGCCAGCAGCCGC
RNAcentral lists this ribosomal RNA (474 nucleotides) under uncultured bacterium. RNAcentral's name for it is "SSU rRNA". It matches the Rfam family "Bacterial small subunit ribosomal RNA", at positions 26 to 518 of the family's 1533-position model. The record is from RNAcentral.